This 842-nucleotide ribosomal RNA is filed under the name Psora globifera. RNAcentral's name for it is "SSU rRNA". It matches the Rfam family "Bacterial small subunit ribosomal RNA", at positions 348 to 1272 of the family's 1533-position model. Lineage: Eukaryota; Fungi; Ascomycota; Lecanoromycetes; Lecanorales; Psoraceae. The record is from RNAcentral.
CCAGCAACUUGGAGGAAUGUAUAGCGAUAGCUAAUUGCAUCGAAAAUAUGAUGCAAGAUCGAUUUAUUGAAUAAAAUUCUGGGUAGAAUUAUGAUUAUGACAUUGUCUACCCAUGUGUCUUGACCAAAUUACGUGCCAGCAGUCGCGGUAAUACGUAGAAGACUUGUGUUAUUCAUCUUUAAUAGGUUUAAAGGGUACCUAGACGGUAAAUCAAGCCCUAGACGGGACUAUUUUGCUAGAGUUACUUGUGAGGGGGUUUUAAAGUACUAAUGGUGUAGAGAUGAAAUUUUGUAAUACCAUUUUUCGAAAGAAAAGUAAUGGCACAGGUAUAGGCGAAAGCAUCCCCUUAUGUGAUAACUGACGUUGAAGGACGAAGGCUUUGAGUCGCGAACAGGAUUAGAUACCCUGGUAGUCAAAGCAGAAAAUUAUGAGUGUCAUAGAUUAGAUAUUAAAGUUUAUUCUAUAAAUGAAAGUGUAAGCACUCCACCUCAAGAGUAAUUUGGCAACAUUGGAACUGAAAUCAUUAGACCGUUUCUGAAACCAGUAGUGAAGUAUGUUGUUUAAUUUGAUAAUCCGCAAAAAACCUUACCACAAUUUGAAUAUUUAUAUCGUUGAUAUAAUUACAAGCGUUGCACGGCUGUCUUCAGUUAAUGUCGUGAGAUUUUGGUUAGAUCCAUUAAAUUAACGCAAGCCCUUACUUUAUUUUAAAAUAAAGUCGUUCCCCACUAGAUUGGAUAAGAUAACAGGGAUUAAGACAAGUCAUCAUGGCCUGAAUAUUGUGGGCUAUAGACGUGCCACAUAAACCUUUACAAAAGGAUGUGAAAUUGUGAAAUUGAGCUAAU